RNAcentral lists this ribosomal RNA (276 nucleotides) under uncultured prokaryote. RNAcentral describes it as "partial 16S ribosomal RNA". It matches the Rfam family "Bacterial small subunit ribosomal RNA", at positions 524 to 801 of the family's 1533-position model. The record is from RNAcentral.
UACGUAGGGGCUAGCGUUAUCCGGAAUUACUGGGCGUAAAGGGUGCGUAGGUGGUUUCUUAAGUCAGAGGUGAAAGGCUACGGCUCAACCGUAGUAAGCCUUUGAAACUGGGAAACUUGAGUGCAGGAGAGGAGAGUGGAAUUCCUAGUGUAGCGGUGAAAUGCGUAGAUAUUAGGAGGAACACCAGUAGCGAAGGCGGCUCUCUGGACUGUAACUGACGCUGAGGCACGAAAGCGUGGGGAGCAAACAGGAUUAGAUACCCCUGUAGUCCCUGAG